Molecule: long non-coding RNA, 1187 nt
Filed under: Cyanistes caeruleus (blue tit)
Lineage: Eukaryota; Metazoa; Chordata; Aves; Passeriformes; Paridae
Description: lncRNA (ENSCCEG00000004192.1)
Source: RNAcentral
UUUUUAGGGAGAAUUUGGGGAUUUUGGGGGGGAUUUUGGGGGAAUUUGGGGAUUUUGGGGGGGUUUAGGGAGGAUUUGGGGAUUUUUGGGGGGAUUUGGGAGGAAUUUGGGGAUUUUUUGGGGGGAUUUGGCGAGUUUAGGGGGGAAUUUGGGUUUUUUGGGGCAGAUUUUGGGGGAUUUGGGGAUUUUGGGGGGGUUUGGGGGCGCCGGGAAGGGAUCAGGGUGCCCCAAAAUGGGGAAAAAUCCCCCAAAAUUGGGGAAAAAUCCCCCAAAAUUGGGAGAAAUCCCCCAAAACUGGGAGAAAUUUCCCAAAAUCGGAGGAAAUUUCCCCAAAUCGGAGGGAAUUUCCCCAAAAUCGAGGGAAUUCUCCCCAAAAUGAGGGGGGGUCUCACCCGAGCCCAGCAGCAGCAGCAGCAGCAGCGCCCCCAUCACCCCGGGGGGGGCCCGGGCCAUGCUCCGUCCUGGGGACCCCCAAAAAAACACCCCAAAUUCCAGGAUUUUCCCCAAAUUCCAGGAUUUUCCCCCAAAAUUCAGCAUUUCCCCCAAAAUUCCAAGAUUUUCCCCCAAAAACCGGGAUUUUCUCCCCCAAAGCCCCCCCUGGACACCCAAAAUUCGGAUUUUUUCCCCCAAAAUUUGGAUUUUUCCCCCCAAAAUUUGGAUUUUUCCCCCAAAAUUGGAUUUUCUCCCCAAAAUUCCAGGAUUUCCUUCAAAAUUCCAGGAUUUCCCCCCAAAACCGGAAUUUUUCUCCCCCAAAAUUGGAAUUUUCUCCUCCAAACCCCCCCGGGACUCCCAAAAUUUGGAUUUUUCCCCCCAAAAUUUGGAUUUUUCCCCCCUAAAUUCGGAUUUUCCCUCCCAAAAUCCGGAUUUUUUCCCCCAAAAUUUGAUUUUCUCCCCAAAAUUCCAGCAUUUCCCCAAAAUUCAGCAUUUCCCCCCCAAAACCGGGAUUUUCUCCCCCAAAGCCCCCCCUGGACACCCAAAAUUUGGAUUUUCCCCCAAAAUUUCGAUUUUUCCCCCCAAACCCGGGAUUUUUCCCCCCAAAACUUGGAUUUUCCCUCCCAAAAUUCGGAUUUUUCCCCCCAAAAUUUGGAUUUCUCCCCCAAAACUUGGAUUUUUUCCCCCAAAAUUCGGAUUUUCGCCCCCAAAAUUUCGAUUUUUCCCCCCAAAACCGGGAUUUCUCCCCCAAAAUU